CACAAAUGAGAGAAGGAAUUUUCCCCAGGGAAGCCAUCAGAGCUCACAUCCCACCGAGCUUACAGCAAAUAGCAUCUCAGGAACCGGUGAUGCCAGGGCUGUCUGGUUUCAUACACGUCAGGUUGCUGGUGCUACGUUGCAAAACCACAGCUGACCCAUUUUUUCCCAGCAGGAGCUCCUCAGGCAUUAAAAAAGGGGAGCCAGGCAGCCAACAGAGGGAGCCCAAAUUCACGACCAACCCGCACCGAGCACAGAGCUGGGGAGCUGGAUGCACUGUAACCAGCCCAUAGGGCUCCAAGCAACAGCCAAAAUGCAAAGCAGGAAAACAGAGCAGCACCUCAGUAAGGAGGCAGAAGGCCAGGCUGGAAAGAAACUAUGCAAAACAAGGAGACAGAAUAAGAGUUUAUAUUUUUAAGCUCACAAAGAUGGAAAAGAUAUUGGAUGAGAUACACAGGCAAAUAUGGACGCACGUGUUUUUUUUCAGAUAAAUUUCUGGCUGCAAAGGAAGGCUGCGUACCCCUCUUCCUCCCUCGGUGAGCACAGGUGCCUGUUUGCAUCUGAUGAGGCAAGUUGCAUCGAGCAGCAACACACAAACACACGCAUGCAGCCAGAUGCUGCCUGCCUGGCCCAGACUCACGUCAAACCCAAGGCAGCUCUGUAACCACACCGACGUAAAGUGUUUUUAUGGUAGCUGUCUCUUUAUCCCAGCUAAAAACACAGCUAUGCCAUAGUUCCAUCUAAAAGGCAGAGAUGAUUUAGCGUUCACAGGCAAAGCAGGUCUGGACUUCUCGGUGUGCUGUUCUCAGAGACAACCCAGGGUCUGGGCUGCGAUGCUCAGAGCUGAGCAAACUCUGUGGAGUUUCACAGCAGCGACAGAGAGGUGCAUGUGUGCAGUGCAGGGACGCAUCCAGCUGAUCCUCCAUGCUAAAUUCAGCACCGCUGCAGCUGUGUGCCACGUCUGACCCGAGCACAAACGAGGCAGUGCUGCAAAACCAGCACCGACUGUAUCUUCAAAUUAAAAGAAAUCAGUUACUUAGUGCCUUUUUUUUUUCCUCCCAAAGUAACAGAAUUUGAAUGUAUUAUUUGAAAAUAGACAUUUUUGUUUUCCACCUCGCUGCACCUAAUGAUUGUGGUGUGAUUAUUAAACACUUCAUAAAUAAUAAUGUGACAUUUUCAGAUGGUGCGUCUGAUUAAGCAGCCAUUCUUCUCCCCCCCGACUGCGGCUGCGGACAGAUGAGAUUGCUGCAGACGUGGCAAUCUUUGCGCCUCCUUCCCUGGGGAGCGGGGAUC
This 1290-nucleotide long non-coding RNA is filed under the name Numida meleagris (helmeted guineafowl). RNAcentral's name for it is "lncRNA (ENSNMEG00000016016.1)". Lineage: Eukaryota; Metazoa; Chordata; Aves; Galliformes; Numididae. The record is from RNAcentral.